CUCUUGAUAAUUUUCAAGUAUCCUCUGCUCGAUGAAUCGUUUAAAUGGCCGCAGUACUUUGACUGUGCAAAGGUAGCAUAAUCACUUGUCUUUUAAUUGGGGGCUGGAAUGAAUGAGGGGACGAAAUCUAAACUAUCGGGCUACAAUAUGAAAUUGACAUAAAAGUUAAAAGGCUUUUAUAAUUCAAAGGGACGAUAAGACCCUGUAAAACUUUACUAUAGUUAAGUUAUCUAAGGUUAUUAGCUACAUUAUAGUUAAACUGGGGCGGUUGAGAUAUAAACAAUUAUAACAGAAAUAUGUUAAAUAAAAUUUUAGAACUCCUACUGGAAAUAAACAAGUUACUUUAGGGAUAACAGCAUAAUUCUCUCAGAGAGCCCUAAUUGGCGGGGGAGCUUAUGACCUCGAUGUUGAAUUGGAGUGUC
RNAcentral lists this ribosomal RNA (422 nucleotides) under Proasellus sp. n. Arpaon. Its description in RNAcentral is "partial 16S ribosomal RNA". It matches the Rfam family "Bacterial large subunit ribosomal RNA", at positions 1884 to 2546 of the family's 2925-position model. The record is from RNAcentral. Lineage: Eukaryota; Metazoa; Arthropoda; Malacostraca; Isopoda; Asellidae.